CCUACGAGGGGCAGCAGUGGGGGAUAUUGCACAAUGGGGGGAACCCUGAUGCAGCGACGCCGCGUGGGUGAAGAAGCGCCUCGGCGCGUAAAGCCCUGUCAGCAGGGAAGAAAAUGACGGUACCUGAAGAAGAAGCCCCGGCUAACUACGUGCCAGCAGCCGCGGUAAUACGUAGGGGGCAAGCGUGAUCCGGAUUUACUGGGUGUAACGGGGGCGCAGACGGCGAUGCAAGCCAGGAGUGAAAGCCCGGGGCCCAACCCCGGGACUGCUCUUGGAACUGCGUGGCUGGAGUGCAGGAGGGGCAGGCGGAAUUCCUGGUGGAGCGGUGAAAUGCGUAGAUAUCAGGAGGAACACCGGUGGCGAAGGCGGCCUGCUGGACUGCAACUGACGUUGAGGCCCGAAAGCGUGGGGAGCAAACAGGAUUAGAUACCCCAGUAGUC
This 440-nucleotide ribosomal RNA is filed under the name uncultured bacterium. Its description in RNAcentral is "partial 16S ribosomal RNA". It matches the Rfam family "Bacterial small subunit ribosomal RNA", at positions 338 to 795 of the family's 1533-position model. The record is from RNAcentral.